AACAACAAAACGGGUGAUUUGAUACCAGCUCGAUACAAGGUUGACAUAAGGGAAGCCAUAUUGUAGAAAAGAAACCAUAUUGUAACUUU
Molecule: non-coding RNA, 89 nt
Organism: Ceratotherium simum simum (southern white rhinoceros)
Lineage: Eukaryota; Metazoa; Chordata; Mammalia; Perissodactyla; Rhinocerotidae
Source: RefSeq, a predicted model, not a curated record